AUUUCUGCAAAGUCAACCUUUUUUCUUGUUCUAUAACCCUUGGUACUGGUUUUGAAGCUUGGCAUUCCUCCUUAUCCCCAGAAAACAGCUGAACUUGUAGGCACAAUACUUGCAUCUGCUGCUAAAACUGCUCUAGGAUGCUCCAAUGAAGAUUUACACUGUGAUGUUUCUGGUGUUCUUUCAUCUUGCUGGCCAGCCUGUACAGCACCCAAAGAAGAUGAACCCAGUGAAGCUGAGAGCUGCAAUGGUGCAGCAGUCUUAUCAACUGGUUCAGGUGCAUCACUUCUGUGCUCUUGACUACCUGAGAAUUGCAAUUCAUCAGGAUUCUUUCACAAUUCUGAAUUGUCUAUUAAAAUAGAAAGAGGUUCACUUGUGCAGUCUGUUGAGUUCAUUAACAGGCAUUGGCAUGUCUUGAACUGGAAUAAUCAUGUUAUUGGGUAAUCUUCCCCUUCAACAUGAAAUACAGUUUACUUUGUAGGUAAAUCUUGAGCAUUCAUUUGAAGAGAAGUGAGUGAACCACUAACAGGUAAAUCAGAGGAGCUUCCUUUCUUUAUUGACAGUAAUCAGGCUGGAUUGGCAUGUUUGGUGU
Long non-coding RNA from Vitis riparia (riverbank grape), 589 nucleotides. RefSeq lists it as uncharacterized. The record is from RefSeq and is a predicted model, not a curated record. The transcript is spliced from 3 exons. Lineage: Eukaryota; Viridiplantae; Streptophyta; Magnoliopsida; Vitales; Vitaceae.